AUAUUGUAGGCACGCUCAGGCCCGACGAGAAGGCCAUCAUGACUUAUGUCUCCUGCUUCUAUCAUGCUUUCUCGGGGGCUCAGAAGAGGACUAGGAACUACAAAGUCUAUAAAGACAAGCUUUUUGAUGGGUCACGCUUAGGAUCAGAUUAUAAGGAGCCUACGAACUUGGCCAGUCUUUGCUCUUAUACCUCAAAGCUUAAAACGAUUUCCCUUCUUGCAGGUCAACCCACCGUACCACCUACAGUGAAUGCCUACACUUCACCUGAGGAAGAGAUCAAAACCCUGAAUAAGGGCACCGUGGUGUGCCUCCUCAGUGGCUUUUACCCACCUGCCUUCACCCUGAAAUGGAAGGAUGGUAAUGAUGAGAUCACAUCCGGCGUGGAGACCACCAAAGCUACCAAGCAGGGUGACAAAUACCUGGCCAGCAGUUACCUGACCUUGAGCGCCUCUGAUUAUCAAAACCACGACACGUUCACCUGUGAAGUGACCCAUGGAGGGCAGGUCCUUAAGAAGACAGUGCGGAAAAAUGGAAGUUGUUAAUUCCAUCAUGAAUUCCUCUGACCUUCCUCCAGUAUUAUCUCUUUUCCCCUUUCCUAAUUCUAGUUUGGUCAAUAACCUCUAUUUCUGUAUCAUCUAGUUACAGUCUGUAAUCUCCCAUGCCUUAAACCCCUUGAAAUCUAUCCCCCUCCCUUCGCCCUCUUAGUUUCAACCUUUAGCAGUUUAAUAAAGAUGGGUAUAUUUCA
Molecule: non-coding RNA, 745 nt
Organism: Thamnophis sirtalis
Lineage: Eukaryota; Metazoa; Chordata; Lepidosauria; Squamata; Natricidae
Source: the annotation of a RefSeq genome assembly